Molecule: ribosomal RNA, 477 nt
Filed under: uncultured soil bacterium
Lineage: Bacteria
Description: bacterial SSU rRNA
Rfam family: Bacterial small subunit ribosomal RNA
Source: RNAcentral
AGGACGAACGCUGGCGGCGUGCUUAACACAUGCAAGUCGAGCGGAAAGGCCUUUCGGGGUACUCGAGCGGCGAACGGGUGAGUAACACGUGAGUAAUCUGCCCAUCGCUUCAGGAUAGCCAUCGGAAACGGUGAUUAAUACUGGAUAUGACAUUCCUUCGCAUGUUGGGGUGUGGAAAGUUUUUUCGGCGGUGGAUGUGCUCGCGGCCUAUCAGCUUGUUGGUGGGGUAAUGGCCUACCAAGGCUUUGACGGGUAGCCGGCCUGAGAGGGUGACCGGCCACACUGGGACUGAGACACGGCCCAGACUCCUACGGGAGGCAGCAGUGGGGAAUAUUGGACAAUGGGCGGAAGCCUGAUCCAGCAACGCCGCGUGGAGGGAUGACGGUCCGUUCGGGUUAGUAACCUCUUUCAGCACAGACGAAGUUUGUCGUUUUUGGUGAAGUGAGUAUGUGCGAGAAGAAGGACCGGCAACUACGU